UCUGGUCUUGGGACACUGUCAGGUGGGCAGUUUGACUGGGGCGGUCGCCUCCCAAAAGGUAACGGAGGCGCUCAAAGGUUCUCUCAGUACGGUCGGAAAUCGUACGUAGAGUGUAAAGGCAAAAGAGAGCUUGAUUGCAAGACAUACAGGUCGAGCAAGGAUGAAAAUCGGACUUAGUGAUCCGGUGGUUCUGCGUGGAAGGGCCAUCGCUCAACGGAUAAAAGCUACCCUGGGGAUAACAGGCUUAUCUCCCCCAAGAGUCCACAUCGACGGGGAGGUUUGGCACCUCGAUGUCGGCUCAUCACAUCCUGGGGCUGUAGUAGGUCCCAAGGGUUGGGCUGUUCGCCCAUUAAAGUGGUACGCGAGCUGGGUUCAGAACGUCGGGAGACAGUUCGGUCCCUAUCCGUCGCAGGCGUAGGAAAUUUGAGAGGACCUGUCCUUAGUACGGGAGGACCGGGAUGGACGUACCUCUGGUGUACCAGUUGUCCUGCCAAGGGCAUGGCUGGGUAGCUAUGUGCGGAAUGGAUAAGCGCUGAAAGCAUCUAAGCGCGAAGCCAACUUCAAGAUAAGAUUUCCCACCGCAAGGGUAAGACCCCAGAAAGACUAUCUGGUUGAUAGGUCGAAGGUGUAAGUGCAGCAAUGUAUUUAGCUUAUCGAUACUAAUAGGUCGAGGACUUGACCAAUAUU
RNAcentral lists this ribosomal RNA (687 nucleotides) under Clostridioides difficile. Its description in RNAcentral is "bacterial LSU rRNA". It matches the Rfam family "Bacterial large subunit ribosomal RNA", at positions 2239 to 2925 of the family's 2925-position model. Lineage: Bacteria; Bacillati; Bacillota; Clostridia; Peptostreptococcales; Peptostreptococcaceae. The record is from RNAcentral.